Molecule: ribosomal RNA, 397 nt
Filed under: uncultured bacterium
Lineage: Bacteria
Description: partial 16S ribosomal RNA
Rfam family: Bacterial small subunit ribosomal RNA
Source: RNAcentral
AUACGUAGGGGGCGAGCGUUGUCCGGAAUUAUUGGGCGUAAAGGGCGCGUAGGCGGCCCGGUAAGUCUGGAGUGAAAGUCCUGUUUUUAAGAUGGGAAUUGCUUUGGAUACUGUCGGGCUUGAGUGCAGGAGAGGUAAGUGGAAUUCCCAGUGUAGCGGUGAAAUGCGUAGAGAUUGGGAGGAACACCAGUGGCGAAGGCGACUUACUGGGCUGUAACUGACGCUGAGGCGCGAAAGUGUGGGGAGCAAACAGGAUUAGAUACCCUGGUAGUCCACACUGUAAACGAUGCAUGCUAGGUGUAGGGGGUAUCGACCCCUUCUGUGCCGCAGUCAACACAAUAAGCAUACCGCCUGGGGAGUACGGCCGCAAGGUUGAAACUCAAAUGAAUUUUCGGGG